Molecule: ribosomal RNA, 245 nt
Filed under: uncultured bacterium
Lineage: Bacteria
Description: partial 16S ribosomal RNA
Rfam family: Bacterial small subunit ribosomal RNA
Source: RNAcentral
AACGUAGGAGGCGAGCGUUAUCCGGAUUUACUGGGCGUAAAGCGUGUGCAGGCGGUUGAGUAAGUUGGAUGUGAAAGCUCCUGGCUUAACUGGGAGAGGUCGUUCAAUACUACUUGACUAGAGAGUGGGAGAGGGAGGUGGAAUUCCGGGUGUAGUGGUGAAAUGCGUAGAUAUCCGGAGGAACACCAGUGGCGAAAGCGGCCUCCUGGCCCAUGUCUGACGCUCAUACACGAAAGCUAGGGGAG